RNAcentral lists this ribosomal RNA (849 nucleotides) under uncultured bacterium. Its description in RNAcentral is "bacterial SSU rRNA". It matches the Rfam family "Bacterial small subunit ribosomal RNA", at positions 70 to 896 of the family's 1533-position model. The record is from RNAcentral.
AAAGUUCCCUUCGGGGGGCGAGUAGAGUGGCGUCCGGGUGAGUAACACGUAGGUAAUCUACCUUUGGGUGGGGAAUAACAAUCGGAAACGGUUGCUAAUACCGCAUAAUGCAGCGGCACCGCAUGGUGACAGUUGUUAAAGCGGGGGAUCGCAAGACCUCGCGCCUAAAGAGGAGCCUGUGGCGGAUUAGCUAGUUGGCAGGGUAAUGGCCUACCAAGGCAACGAUCCGUAGCCGGCCUGAGAGGGCGGUCGGCCACACUGACACUGAAAUACGGGUCAGACUCCUACGGGAGGCAGCAGUCGGGAAUUUUGGGCAAUGGGCGCAAGCCUGACCCAGCAACGCCGCGUGAAGGAUGAAAUCCCUCGGGAUGUAAACUUCGCAAGAACGGGAAGAAUAAGUGGGGGCAAAUACCCUCCAUGAUGACGGUACCGUUUGUAAGCUCCGGCUAACUCCGUGCCAGCAGCCGCGGUAAUACGGGGGGAGCAAGCGUUGUUCGGAUUUACUGGGCGUAAAGGGCGCGUAGGCGGUCAGUGCAAGUCAGUUGUGAAAUCUCCGGGCUUAACUCGGAAAGGUCAACUGAUACUGCUCGACUAGAGUGCGGAAGGGGCAACUGGAAUUCUUGGUGUAGCGGUGAAAUGCGUAGAUAUCAAGAGGAACACCUGCGGCGAAGGCGGGUUGCUGGGCCGACACUGACGCUGAAGCGCGAAAGCUAGGGGAGCGAACGGGAUUAGAUACCCCGGUAGUCCUAGCCUUAAACGAUGAAUGCUUGGUGUCUGGGGUUAUAAAGUCCCCGGGUGCCGUCGCUAACGCUUUAAGCAUUCCGCCUGGGGAGUACGGUCGCAAGACUG